AACGUAGGUGGCAAGCGUUAUCCGGAUUCACUGGGCGUAAAGCGCGUGCAGGUGGUUCUGUAAGUUGGAUGUUAAAUCUUCCGGCCUAACCGGGAGCGGUCAUUCAAUACUGCAGGACUUGAGGGCAGAAGAGGGGGGUGGAAUUGCCGGUGUAGUGGUGAAAUGCGUAGAUAUCGGCAGGAACACCUGUGGCGAAAGCGGCCCCCUGGUCUGCUCCUGACACUCAGACGCGAAAGCUAGGGUAGUGAACGGG
Molecule: ribosomal RNA, 253 nt
Filed under: uncultured bacterium
Lineage: Bacteria
Description: partial 16S ribosomal RNA
Rfam family: Bacterial small subunit ribosomal RNA
Source: RNAcentral